Molecule: long non-coding RNA, 283 nt
Organism: Telopea speciosissima
Lineage: Eukaryota; Viridiplantae; Streptophyta; Magnoliopsida; Proteales; Proteaceae
Exons: 3
Source: RefSeq, a predicted model, not a curated record
GGUUCCUCUGGUUAUUUCUAUCAUUUGGGUCUGUUAUUUCAUUUGAUUCCCUCUCUCAGGUUUGUUCAACGAUCUAAAGGUAUACAUCUACGAUCUCCCCUGAAAUACAACAGUGACUAGCUGGCAAACGAGCAGUGCAGUAAGCAUCUGUUCGCUGCAGAAGUCGCUAUACACAAGGCUCUAUUGAGUAGUGAUGUAAGGACGCUCGAUCCAUCGGAAGCCGAUUUCUUCUUUGUUCCAGUUUACAUUUCCUGCAACUUCAGUUCUGGAAAUGGGAUCCCGA